AGUCGAACGGCAGCGCGGGGCAACCUGGCGGCGAGUGGCGAACGGGUGAGUAAUAUAUCGGAACGUACCCAAGAGUGGGGGAUAACGUAGCGAAAGUUACGCUAAUACCGCAUACGAUCUAUGGAUGAAAGUGGGGGAUUCGCAAGAACCUCAUGCUCCUGGAGCGGCCGAUAUCUGAUUAGCUAGUUGGUGAGGUAAAGGCUCACCAAGGCGACGAUCAGUAGCUGGUCUGAGAGGACGACCAGCCACACUGGAACUGAGACACGGUCCAGACUCCUACGGGAGGCAGCAGUGGGGAAUUUUGGACAAUGGGCGCAAGCCUGAUCCAGCAAUGCCGCGUGAGUGAAGAAGGCCUUCGGGUUGUAAAGCUCUUUUGUCAGGGAAGAAACGGUGAGGGCUAAUAUCCUUUGCUAAUGACGGUACCUGAAGAAUAAGUACCGGCUAACUACGUGCCAGCAGCCGCGGUAAUACGUAGGGUGCAAGCGUUAAUCGGAAUUACUGGGCGUAAAGCGUGCGCAGGCGGUUUUGUAAGUCUGUCGUGAAAUCCCCGGGCUCAACCUGGGAAUUGCGAUGGAGACUGCAAGGCUAGAAUCUGGCAGAGGGGGGUAGAAUUCCACGUGUAGCAGUGAAAUGCGUAGAGAUGUGGAGGAACACCGAUGGCGAAGGCAGCCCCCUGGGUCAAGAUUGACGCUCAUGCACGAAAGCGUGGGGAGCAAACAGGAUUAGAUACCCUGGUAGUCCACGCCCUAAACGAUGUCUACUAGUUGUCGGGUCUUAAUUGACUUGGUAACGCAGCUAACGCGUGAAGUAGACCGCCUGGGGAGUACGGUCGCAAGAUUAAAACUCAAAGGAAUUGAC
RNAcentral lists this ribosomal RNA (858 nucleotides) under uncultured bacterium. RNAcentral's name for it is "bacterial SSU rRNA". It matches the Rfam family "Bacterial small subunit ribosomal RNA", at positions 60 to 914 of the family's 1533-position model. The record is from RNAcentral.